Molecule: ribosomal RNA, 253 nt
Filed under: uncultured bacterium
Lineage: Bacteria
Description: partial 16S ribosomal RNA
Rfam family: Bacterial small subunit ribosomal RNA
Source: RNAcentral
UACGUAGGGCGCAAGCGUUAUCCGGAAUUAUUGGGCGUAAAGAGCUCGUAGGCGGUUUGUCGCGUCUGCCGUGAAAGUCCGGGGCUCAACUCCGGAUCUGCGGUGGGUACGGGCAGACUAGAGUGAUGUAGGGGAGACUGGAAUUCCUGGUGUAGCGGUGAAAUGCGCAGAUAUCAGGAGGAACACCAGUGGCGAAGGCGGUGCUCUGGGCCGGAACUGACGCUGAUGAGCGAAAGCGUGGGGAGCAAACAGG